ACAUUUAAAGUUAUAGACAGUUGAAGGCGAUGUUUACAUGCACGUAUCAAUAAUUAUUACCCGGUUCUUUUUUCCUCAGUAGCAGGAAGGGAUGUGAAUACGAAGGCAGAAGAGCAGCAGUCCCCGCUGAUCCACAGUCUUUUGGAGCCGUUUUUAAAAGAUUUCCAACCAGGAAGUGAAAAGAAAGUCAUGUCGUUGGGGGAGACGAAGGUGGAAGCGAUGGCGUCUCUUAUUGAGCUGCUUUUGGAAACUGUGAUGGAUUUGACUUCCUCAGAGUUCAAGCGUUUUCAGCAGUUUCUCCUGAAUGAAAUUGACUUCGACAGACCUUCCUCAGACUUCCCGUGGAGGCUACUGAGCAGGAGAGACAAGCAGGACACCGUGUUUUUAAUGGUGCUGAGCUACGGCCAACAGUCUUUGACGAUGAUUAAGGAGCAUUUAAAGUAUUUCGAGAGGACCGAUCUGAAGAAUAAAUUGCCUCCAAGCAGCCCGGGACCCAAAAAGAAAAGUUCCAAAGUAGAGCGACCUGCACUGAUCCAGAAAGUAGCAACAAUGGCGGCAGUGAAACAGGUGCUUUUGGAAACCGUCACUGGUUUUAGGAACAAGGAGCUCCAGAAAUUCAAGGAGCUCCUGCAGUUGAUUGUCUCCCAGAGGGAACACCAAUGGAUCUGGUUUGGACCGAGUGACGCUGCAGACACGGUGGACGAGAUGAUGCAGACUUAUGGCCGACGCUCUCUGGAUUUAACGAGAGAAGUCAUGGAGAAAAUGAACAGGAGCGAUCUGAUGCAGAAAUUGUCAGCGUCCAGCUUAGGACUCACAGAGGAACCUUCUGUGGAAAAACAUCACGCUGCACUGUCAAAGCAAAGAUUGAAAAUACAAACAGCAGCUGUGGAAAUGAGUCUUCUACCAAAAGUCAAAGCGUUGAGUAUCGAGGAGUUUGAGAAAUUCAAGUGGCUGCUGCAGUUCACGUACUUCAAGAAGAGUCUCCCGAACAUCUCAUGGAGCACACUGGAAUGGGCAGAAACUGCAUAUCAACUCGUAGUGCUGAUGGAGCACAAGCCACAGUCUCUUGAGGUGACCGAGGAGGUUCUAAUGGACAUGAGGAUCGUCCCAGAGGAGACGUUGCCAGAGACCAGCUGGGGACUCAAAGAGUUGGGAUGGAAAAGUUCUGAAGAAAUUCCUAUUUCCUCCCCUAUACCGAGCAAAUCACGACGAUACCGUACGACGAGAUAUAGAAAGAUAAAACGUUGGUCGGAGAAGGUUUUAAAGGAGAUGGAAUCAUCACUGAGUUCAUCUAAUACCAGCUCAGGAUUCAAAGUGAAUGAAGGAUACUGGGAGUUGUUGGGUUGAGGGAUCCUCCACCGUGACACAUUUUGAG
Gasterosteus aculeatus (three-spined stickleback) is the source of this 1375-nucleotide long non-coding RNA. The record is from Ensembl. NCBI's taxonomy places the organism in Eukaryota, Metazoa, Chordata, Actinopteri, Perciformes, Gasterosteidae.